Molecule: ribosomal RNA, 441 nt
Filed under: uncultured bacterium
Lineage: Bacteria
Description: partial 16S ribosomal RNA
Rfam family: Bacterial small subunit ribosomal RNA
Source: RNAcentral
CCUACGGGUGACUGCAGUGGGGAAUAUUGCACAAUGGGGGAAACCCUGAUGCAGCGACGCCGCGUGAGUGAAGAAGUAUUUCGGUAUGUAAAGCUCUAUCAGCAGGGAAGAAAAACGCUGGUACCUCGUAAGCACGCCCCGGCAAACUACGUGCCAGCAGCCGCGGUAAUACGUAGGGGGCGAGCGUUGUCCGGAAUGACUGGGCGUAAGGGGAGUGUAGGCGGCAUAUUAAGUUAUGUGUGAAAGCCCGCGGCUCAACCGCGGAAUUGCACAUAAAACUGGUAAGCUGGAGUGCAGGAGAGGUAAGUGGAAUUCCCGGUGUAGCGGUGGAAUGCGUAGAUAUCGGGAGGAACACCAGAGGCGAAGGCGACUUACUGGACUGUAACUGACGCUGAGGCUCGAAAGCGUGGGGAGCAAACAGGAUUAGAUACCCUUGUAGUC